GUGCUUGCUUGGGCAGCACAUAUACUAAAAUUAGAACUAUACAGAGAAGAUGAGUAUGGCCUCAGGAAAAAAAAAAAAAAAACAAGAUAAAUGUAU
Molecule: small nuclear RNA, 96 nt
Filed under: Panthera leo (lion)
Lineage: Eukaryota; Metazoa; Chordata; Mammalia; Carnivora; Felidae
Source: RNAcentral